RNAcentral lists this ribosomal RNA (464 nucleotides) under uncultured bacterium. RNAcentral describes it as "partial 16S ribosomal RNA". It matches the Rfam family "Bacterial small subunit ribosomal RNA", at positions 28 to 507 of the family's 1533-position model. The record is from RNAcentral.
GACGAAUGCUGGCGGCGUGCUUAACACAUGCAAGUCGAACGGAAAGGCCCUGCUUGCAGGGUACUCGAGUGGCGAACGGGUGAGUAACACGUGGGUGAUCUGCCCUUCACUUCGGGAUAAGCCUGGGAAACUGGGUCUAAUACCGGCUAGGAGCCAUUUUUAGUGCGAUGGUUGGAAAGUUUUUUCGGUGUAGGAUGAGCUCGCGGCCUAUCAGCUUGUUGGUGGGGUAAUGGCCUACCAAGGCGGCGAAGGGUAGCCGGCCUGAGAGGGUGGACGGCCACAUGGGGACUGAGAUACGGCCCAGACGCCAACGGGAGGCAGCAGUGGGGAGUAUGGCACAAUGGGCGCAAGCCUGAUGCAGAGACGCCGCGUGGGGGAUGACGGCCUUCGGGUUGUAAACUCCUUUCGCUAGGGAUGAAGCUUUUGUGACGGUACCUAGAGAAGAAGCACCGGCUAACUACGUG